Molecule: ribosomal RNA, 457 nt
Filed under: Streptococcus mitis
Lineage: Bacteria; Bacillati; Bacillota; Bacilli; Lactobacillales; Streptococcaceae
Description: bacterial SSU rRNA
Rfam family: Bacterial small subunit ribosomal RNA
Source: RNAcentral
GACGAACGCUGGCGGCGUGCCUAAUACAUGCAAGUAGAACGCUGAAGGAGGAGCUUGCUUCUCUGGAUGAGUUGCGAACGGGUGAGUAACGCGUAGGUAACCUGCCUGGUAGCGGGGGAUAACUAUUGGAAACGAUAGCUAAUACCGCAUAAGAGUAGAUGUUGCAUGACAUUUGCUUAAAAGGUGCAAUUGCAUCACUACCAGAUGGACCUGCGUUGUAUUAGCUAGUUGGUGAGGUAACGGCUCACCAAGGCAACGAUACAUAGCCGACCUGAGAGGGUGAUCGGCCACACUGGGACUGAGACACGGCCCAGACUCCUACGGGAGGCAGCAGUAGGGAAUCUUCGGCAAUGGACGGAAGUCUGACCGAGCAACGCCGCGUGAGUGAAGAAGGUUUUCGGAUCGUAAAGCUCUGUUGUAAGAGAAGAACGAGUGUGAGAGUGGAAAGUUCACACUG